GUACUCACUUCAGAAGCACAUAUUCUAAAAUUCGAUACAGAGAAGAUUAGCAUGGCUCCUGCGCAAGGAUGACAUGCAAACUCAAGAAAUGUUCCCAUUUUCU
Molecule: small nuclear RNA, 103 nt
Organism: Jaculus jaculus (lesser Egyptian jerboa)
Lineage: Eukaryota; Metazoa; Chordata; Mammalia; Rodentia; Dipodidae
Source: Ensembl